This 438-nucleotide ribosomal RNA is filed under the name uncultured bacterium. Its description in RNAcentral is "bacterial SSU rRNA". It matches the Rfam family "Bacterial small subunit ribosomal RNA", at positions 28 to 480 of the family's 1533-position model. The record is from RNAcentral.
GACGAACGCUGGCGGCGUGCUUAACACAUGCAAGUCGAACGGAAAGGCCCUGCUUUUGUGGGUGCUCGAGUGGCGAACGGUGAGUAACACGUGAGUAACCUGCCCUUGACUUUGGGAUAACUUCAGGAAACUGGGGCUAAUACCGGAUAGGAGCUCCUGCUGCAUGGUGGGGUUGGAAAGUUUCGGCGGUUGGGGAUGGACUCGCGGCUUAUCAGCUUGUUGGUGGGGUAGUGGCUUACCAAGGCUUUGACGGGUAGCCGGCCUGAGAGGGUGACCGGCCACAUUGGGACUGAGAUACGGCCCAGACUCCUACGGGAGGCAGCAGUGGGGAAUAUUGCACAAUGGGCGGAAGCCUGAUGCAGCAACGCCGCGUGCGGGAUGACGGCCUCGGUUGUAACCGACUUCGUCCUCGUGACGAAGACGUGAGUGACGGUAAGU